AAGAGAGAUACCAUGAUGGCAAGAAGGCCUGUCUCCAUGUAUUUGUAUAAAUAUUUGCCAUUUCUGGGACUUACCAAUGUAAAGUCGGCAGUUACCGUAGCCCUUUCCAAAUGUCCAUACUCGUAUUCUGACUGAUUCCAAAUUGGGCUGAAUUGCCUGGUUUGUAAAUGAGAGAAUAAUUGGGACUUGUAGGUUGAAGCUCUGUCCUCUGCCAAGCCAUUUGCUAACGAACAUGAGAGUGUAGCUUCACCAACAUGUGAUGAAUUCUGUAGCUCAGGGCUGUUUACCAAAGAUAGACACCAAAUGCUGGAGUAACUCAGUGGGUCAGGCAGCAUCUCUGGAGAGAAGAAAUAGGUGAUGUUUUGGCUCGAGACCCUUCUUCAGACUGAGAGUAGGGGAAAGAGAAACAAGAGAUAUAGACGGACAUAACGGAUAUACCAUGGUGAAUGAAACCAGCACCAGUUAUUGGCACCACACCAACCAUUGUAUGCCAUGUCAGUCAACCCUAUCACUUCACUUGUCAUGAGAAGUUGUUCUGUGUUCAUUAUCCACACGCACAUCACCAGCCAGUAUCUGCCUGUCAUCUACCAUGAUGCAUCGUUCCUCAUGCUUGUUCAUUUAUUAUUAUAUGAACCAACAUGAACGUCUGCCUCCAAUGUCAAUCCGUGGUGGCAUUGGGCCACAAACACGCACACUCUUUGGUGGAGUGAUUGCUUUGUGUUACUUAGUGUCAAUGGGAGUUAGUCCCACCUCUCAGUCAUUUUCUAUUGCCGUGGGUCCCUGUGCCAUCCAAUGUGUGAGCUUGUGAGGUUUUGGAGGAGGAAGUGUUAAGGCCUUUUAGAGGUGAGGAGGAAAAGGUAGAUAUGAUAAUGCAUCAAUUUUACUCAUUUUAAACUUGACCAAAGAAGAUCCAAAACAAAAUAGACACAAAGUGCUGGAGUAACUCAGCGGGGCAGGCAGCAUCUCUGGAGAACGUGGAUAGGUACAAAGUGCUGGAGUAACUCAGCAGGACAGGCAGCAUCUCUGGAGAACGUGGAUAGGUACAAAGUGCUGGAGUAACUCAGCGGGGCAGGCAGCAUCUCUGGAGAGAAGGAAUGGUGACGUUUCGAGACCGUUCUUGCUGUUUUGACAGAAUGCCUCUUCUGCAACUGAGAACAUGCGUCACACUAGGGUCACAUGGGUCAAUGCAGCCACGUUAUGGCCAGGUCUGCCUCGUUUCCCUUUGAUGAGACUGGAUUUUGUUCAUUAUGCACAAUACUUUAGUAUCGCAUCUACCACAUGACCGUUCAGUACAAAUCCAACAGUAGUUACUUGAUUUCUGUUUGAUGCCUCGAUUUGUUCAGGUGUUGAUGUUUCACUACCCAGUUCUUGUGAACUUUUAUUCAUAAUUACAUUUUUUGCCGUGUU
Long non-coding RNA from Amblyraja radiata (thorny skate), 1407 nucleotides. RefSeq lists it as uncharacterized. Lineage: Eukaryota; Metazoa; Chordata; Chondrichthyes; Rajiformes; Rajidae. The record is from RefSeq and is a predicted model, not a curated record. The transcript is spliced from 2 exons.